This is a long non-coding RNA of Cyprinus carpio (common carp), 216 nucleotides long. RefSeq lists it as uncharacterized. The transcript is spliced from 3 exons. Lineage: Eukaryota; Metazoa; Chordata; Actinopteri; Cypriniformes; Cyprinidae. The record is from RefSeq and is a predicted model, not a curated record.
UUGGUGUUUGAACUAAAUAAAAAGAGGGGAAUCAUAAUCAGGUUUUGAAGAGUCAAGCAUUUGUUGUUCUGCAGAGAGCUACAGAGUACUUGGACGUGUCUAACUUCAUAGAGGGUGUGCAGUAGUACUGGUUGAUUUCAGGAACAAUGGCAGUCUGGCCUCUUUGUCUGUCUUUCUUUCUGCUCUUUGCUCUGGAUGCUUCAGAGGCAGAACCUC